RNAcentral lists this ribosomal RNA (79 nucleotides) under Tuber maculatum. RNAcentral describes it as "partial 28S ribosomal RNA". The record is from RNAcentral. Lineage: Eukaryota; Fungi; Ascomycota; Pezizomycetes; Pezizales; Tuberaceae.
UUGACCCCCAUCCUGCGUGAAGCAGUAAGGUUGACCUCGGAUCAGGUAGGGAUACCCGCUGAACUUAAGCAUAUCAAUA